GCUUCCUGUUAGCCACAGACAGAGAGGAGGAACAUCCAGCAAGUGCCUUCAUGCAGAGCCCUAUUUCUGCCAGUGGCAAUAUAAAUGCAGCAGCUGAAGAGGAAGCAAAGUCUUGGCCCUCUGCUCUAGCCAGCACCUUGGAAACGUUAACAAAGAGAACAAAUUGCCACUGUGUUUGCAAAGCUCUGCCAGGAAAAAAUGCCUGAGGUUUGCCUUGGUGAUGGCCUAGGUGGUUACAAUUCUGGAGCAGAGAUUUCUGACUGCAGGUUAUGCUACCAAACUAAAAAAUAAAAAAUAAAUCCACAGUGAAA
Gallus gallus (chicken) is the source of this 311-nucleotide long non-coding RNA. RefSeq lists it as uncharacterized. The record is from RefSeq and is a predicted model, not a curated record. The transcript has 3 exons. NCBI's taxonomy places the organism in Eukaryota, Metazoa, Chordata, Aves, Galliformes, Phasianidae.